UACGUAGGUGGCGAGCGUUGUCCGGAAUUACUGGGCGUAAAGGGAGCGUAGGCGGUCAAUUAAGUGGGAUGUGAAAACCCCGGGCUCAACCUGGGACCUGCAUUCCAAACUGGUUGACUAGAGUGCAGGAGAGGAAAGUGGAAUUCCAAGUGUAGCGGUGAAAUGCGUAGAGAUUUGGAGGAACACCAGUGGCGAAGGCGACUUUCUGGACUGUAACUGACGCUGAGGCUCGAGAGCGUGGGGAG
RNAcentral lists this ribosomal RNA (245 nucleotides) under uncultured bacterium. RNAcentral describes it as "partial 16S ribosomal RNA". It matches the Rfam family "Bacterial small subunit ribosomal RNA", at positions 524 to 768 of the family's 1533-position model. The record is from RNAcentral.